This 71-nucleotide transfer RNA is filed under the name Candidatus Woesearchaeota archaeon. Its description in RNAcentral is "tRNA-His". It matches the Rfam family "tRNA". From Rfam's summary of the family: Transfer RNA (tRNA) molecules are approximately 80 nucleotides in length. Their secondary structure includes four short double-helical elements and three loops (D, anti-codon, and T loops). Lineage: Archaea; Nanobdellati; Candidatus Woesearchaeota. RNAcentral also lists the same sequence under 1 other name. The record is from RNAcentral.
GCGAAUGUGGUUUAAUGGCAGAAUAUGAGACUGUGGAUCUUGUGGAGCGGGUUCGAUUCCCGCCAUUCGCC